This 29-nucleotide non-coding RNA is filed under the name Homo sapiens (human). Lineage: Eukaryota; Metazoa; Chordata; Mammalia; Primates; Hominidae. The record is from RNAcentral.
UCCCAGAAGAAUGGUGUGUGUGAGGCUUA